UUUGACUGAAAUAGGGGACCAUGAGGUCCCCUCGUUUGGUUGGCCGAUCGACAACGCAGUCGGCAUGGGGAUGGUCGGCGAUUGAAGGAGCACGACUCGCCGCCUGAAUGAACCCAAACCGGUGGCCGGCGAUGACCACCGGCACCCAAAAAAUCAAAAGAAAAUCGAACCCCUUUUUCAUGAAAAUUUGAUGACUCUGGUCGUCGGUGAACAUGCAUAUUGACACGGGAAAGAGG
RNAcentral lists this long non-coding RNA (236 nucleotides) under Elaeis guineensis (African oil palm). RNAcentral describes it as "long non-coding RNA (EGUI_LNC056315)". Lineage: Eukaryota; Viridiplantae; Streptophyta; Magnoliopsida; Arecales; Arecaceae. The record is from RNAcentral.